UACGGAGGGUGCAAGCGUUAUCCGGAUUCACUGGGUUUAAAGGGUGCGUAGGUGGGUUGAUAAGUCAGUGGUGAAAUCCCCGAGCUUAACUUGGGAACUGCCAUUGAUACUAUUGAUCCUGAAUACCGUGGAGGUCAGCGGAAUAUGUCAUGUAGCGGUGAAAUGCUUAGAUAUGACAUAGAACACCAAUUGCGAAGGCAGCUGGCUACGCGAAUAUUGACACUGAUGCACGAAAGCGUGGGGAUCAAACAGG
RNAcentral lists this ribosomal RNA (253 nucleotides) under uncultured bacterium. RNAcentral describes it as "partial 16S ribosomal RNA". It matches the Rfam family "Bacterial small subunit ribosomal RNA", at positions 524 to 776 of the family's 1533-position model. The record is from RNAcentral.